GAUGAACGCUGGCGGCGUGCCUAAUACAUGCAAGUCGAGCGAACAGAUGAGGAGCUUGCUCCUCUGACGUUAGCGGCGGACGGGUGAGUAACACGUGGAUAACCUACCUAUAAGACUGGGAUAACUUCGGGAAACCGGAGCUAAUACCGGAUAAUAUAUUGAACCGCAUGGUUCAAUAGUGAAAGACGGUUUUGCUGUCACUUAUAGAUGGAUCCGCGCCGCAUUAGCUAGUUGGUAAGGUAACGGCUUACCAAGGCAACGAUGCGUAGCCGACCUGAGAGGGGUGUCGGCCACCCUGGAACUGAGGAACGGUCCAAACUCCUACGGGGAGCAACAGGAGGGAAUCUUCCGGAAUGGGGGAAAGGCUGACGGAGGAACGCCGGGGGAAGGAUGAAGGUCUUCGGAUCCGAAAACUCUGUUAUUAGGGGAGAACAAAAGUUGAAGUAACUGUUCCCGUCUUGACGGUACCUAAACAAAAAGCCACGGCUAACUUCGUG
This 497-nucleotide ribosomal RNA is filed under the name uncultured bacterium. Its description in RNAcentral is "partial 16S ribosomal RNA". It matches the Rfam family "Bacterial small subunit ribosomal RNA", at positions 28 to 507 of the family's 1533-position model. The record is from RNAcentral.